ACUUGAGAUUUGUUAUGAAUAUUUUCUAUUCUGCUUUUAAGUGUUUACAUUAGUUGUUGCUGAAAAUGUUAAUGGAAUGCUUGUGUCGUCCGGAACUGCCUGCUGGCUCCGAUGAUCUUUUUUUUGUAACAUCAUUCUUAUUGUGAUGUGUUGCCUAGCAUAGCACUGCGUGUUCCUGCUCAUUCAUGUACUUUUUUUUUUUUUGUUUGUUGCACCUGUU
Long non-coding RNA from Poecilia latipinna (sailfin molly), 220 nucleotides. RefSeq lists it as uncharacterized. NCBI's taxonomy places the organism in Eukaryota, Metazoa, Chordata, Actinopteri, Cyprinodontiformes, Poeciliidae. The transcript is spliced from 3 exons. The record is from RefSeq and is a predicted model, not a curated record.